Molecule: transfer RNA, 67 nt
Filed under: Nomada goodeniana
Lineage: Eukaryota; Metazoa; Arthropoda; Insecta; Hymenoptera; Apidae
Description: tRNA-Gly
Source: RNAcentral
GUAUAAAUAGUAUAAAAUAUUACAUUUAAUUUCCAAUUAAAAAAUUUAUAAUAAAAUAAUUUAUCCA